GUGUCAGAGUGAAGAUCCGAGCUGGAGCUGAUGGACCUUCACCUCGGGAACCUGCUGAAGAAGAGGCUGCUCCUCUCCCUCUGCCUCUGCUACUGCCCUGAGUCAUGGCUGGAGCUGCUGGCUGAGCCAUACUGCCUGGAGCUGUCUGCUGGGACGGUGCCAUGAAAGGCGCCCUUGGACACUCUCGAGCCAUGUGUCCCUCCUGCCCACACCUGAAGCAGGCUGUAGUCCCAAAUCGACACACUCCCUU
This 250-nucleotide long non-coding RNA is filed under the name Manihot esculenta (cassava). Its description in RNAcentral is "long non-coding RNA (MESC_LNC007798)". The record is from RNAcentral. Lineage: Eukaryota; Viridiplantae; Streptophyta; Magnoliopsida; Malpighiales; Euphorbiaceae.